CCUACGGGUGGCAGCAGUGAGGAAUAUUGGUCAAUGGACGAAAGUCUGAACCAGCCAAGCCGCGUGCAGGAUGAAGGUUCUGUGAAUUGUAAACUUCUUUUGUAUGGGAGUAAACACCCCUACGUGUACCCGCUUGAGUGUAUCAUACGAAUAAGGAUCGGCUAACUCCGUGCCAGCAGCCGCGGUAAUACGGAGGAUCCAAGCGUUAUCCGGAUUUAUUGGGUUUAAAGGGUGCGUAGGCGGUUUGGUAAGUUAGGGGUGAAAUACCGGUGCUCAACACCGGAACUGCCUUUAAUACGGUUGAACUAGAGAGGAGGUGAGGUAGGCGGAAUGUAUGGUGUAGCGGUGAAAUGCUUAGAGAUCAGACAGAACACCGAUUGCGAAGGCAGCUUACCAAAAUAUAACUGACGUUGAGGCACGAAAGCGUGGGUAGCAAACAGGAUUAGAUACCCCGGUAGUC
RNAcentral lists this ribosomal RNA (460 nucleotides) under uncultured bacterium. Its description in RNAcentral is "partial 16S ribosomal RNA". It matches the Rfam family "Bacterial small subunit ribosomal RNA", at positions 338 to 795 of the family's 1533-position model. The record is from RNAcentral.